Long non-coding RNA from Anolis carolinensis (green anole), 2588 nucleotides. RefSeq lists it as uncharacterized. The transcript has 4 exons. The record is from RefSeq and is a predicted model, not a curated record. NCBI's taxonomy places the organism in Eukaryota, Metazoa, Chordata, Lepidosauria, Squamata, Anolidae.
GAUUCAGUUCAAGGAUAGUAUAGAAUCCCUAAACUUGGUUACAGAACCUCCUAAAGCUGCCUUCCAGGUGAACAUAUCUGUUUAACAACCAAGAACUUUUUGAUGUAAGAACCUUUCAACAGUGGAACCCUCUGCUAUGGAGUGUUGUGGAGGCUCCUUCUUUGGAGGCGUUUAAACAGAGAUUGGAUGGUCAUCUGUUGGGGGUGCUUUGAUUGUACUUUUCCUCCAUGGUAGGGGGUUGGACUAGAUGGCCCAUGUGGUCUCUUCCAACUCUAUGAUUCUAUAAUUCUAUGAUUCUAAGACACCAUGCACUGCCUUGCUUCUUUCUAGAUAAGGAAAGACUAUAUUUGUUAAUCUACUCCUAGUUCUACAAAAUAUCAGCAUGUAAACACUGAAUAUCUAUCUGCCAUGAUCUUCCACCUCAGUUCAGAGCUGCUUUAAUUUCCAAUACAAGUUCCUUGGGGUAGGCUAGAGAUAUAGGAAACAGUUUAUCACUACGGUAUCUAUGGAAGCUGAUGCUCUGGACUGGCCACAGCACAACUAUGAUGGUGUCCAGACACACCCAACCGAACUGGUGGCAGCACAAUGUUGGUGUCAAGAUUGCACCAAUCCUGCAGAACCAUUAUUCUCAUCUUCUACCUCUCCUAGCUGAUUGUGGUGCUCUGUGUGACCACCUGUCUGGGCGCACACACAGCGACCAAUAAAGGAGUAGAUGGACCCUCUGCUUCCUGCUGGUUGUGUGGGUGCCCCAUUCUGACAUCAGAGAUUACCAUAUUGGCCAGAAACUUGCAGUGAGCUCCAUGGCUGAUGGGGAGCAAUGAAAACAAAGGGACAGAUAUCCUCUCCACAUGCAUUAAUUAGUGCAAGGUGUCCAUCUGGACCGGCUGAUGGUACAAAUGUCUGUUUAGACUGGAAUUAGCUGGACCCAGUCGAUCUGUCUAGAUUGCUAUGAUGUUCUGGUAGAUUCCAGUGUUUUCAGCAAACUAUGGACUUUCCCCUGAUUUUACCUGAAAUGGGGCAAAGUUGGAUUAAGGCAAGAAAACUAGGAUACUCACUGGAAAUUGGCAUGUGUCACUGGGACAGCCAGCACCGAAUUUGAGAUCUCUGCUACCUGAUUACCUCCUUCCACCUGCCUGGAUCUUUAGCUCUGAAAAAGAAGACACUCUUGGAUAUAACGAUAUAUAACAAUUUCAAGUUUGUUGCACAGCAGAUGGAGGGCAUGGAUUGAUGAGAAGACCAAAAGAGAAAGGGAAGGAAGAAGCUACCAUUGUCUCAUCUACCAGAACAGUAGUGAAUUUAAACCUGCAUGAGGGGCAUGCAACUUUGCAGUCUUCACAUGCAAACUGACUUUAAAAUGGCAAAGAAUUUGGAUCUACCCCUUAUUGGUCCAGGACAAACCCAAGAGAACAAAGCUUUGCACAUCUAAAAGAUGAAAAACUGUGAAAAAACAAAUCACGCCCAAUGAAUCAAAUAAGGGAAUAUCUUUCUUCCUUUCUGUGUUUUUAUAACAGUAUCUGAAGAUAAAUAGUGCAUAGUACAUUAAUGUUCCUGGUGUUCUACCUCCCACAGAUGUGGUUGUGUUUGAACUGAUGCAUUACAUUUGCCUGAGUGCCUAGCAAUGAAUUUUUUUUGAAGAACACAGCAGAAAGAAACAUGUCUUCAGGGAAAAAAGUAAAAGAAAACUGCAGAAAAUAAACUUGAGCAUAAUGCAGCAUAUUGAAGAUAAUACAUAUUGCUGAAUGGAAGUCUUUCUUUCCAUCUUAGGGUGUGAUUUUAAAGAAAAGAAUUCUGUUUAUGCGAUGGCAUUGUAGUUCAAUAGGUUUCAUUCUAUAAGAGAAAAUGUUAUCCAGAGGUGAUUGGUGUGCAAAGGUAGGGAACUUGAAGGGAAAACUCUCCACAGUGAACAACAGCUGGCUUUAAUUUUUACAAAACCCAAAUCAUAGAAUCAAGAAAUUAUAGAGCUGAAAGAGACUACAUGGGCCAUCUACUCCAACCCCUUGCCAUGCAAAAAAGCACAAUCAAAUGACCCUCGAUUGAUGUCCAUUAAACCCCGUUUUAAAACCUCCAAAGAAGGGGCUUCCACUUCACUCCAAGGCAUAGUGUUUCCUCUUACUUGUGACAUCCUUUCAGAUAUUUAAACAUGGUGAUCAUGUCUUCUUUCAACCUUCUCUUCUGCAGACUAAACAGACCCAGCUCUUUAAGAGGAUAUGGUCUCCAGGCCUUUGAUUGACCUCUGGACAUGUUCCAGUGUGUCAAUAUCCCUCUUGAAUUGUGAUGCCCAGAAUUGAACAUAGUAUUCUAGGUGAGGUCUGACCAAAGCAGAAGAGAUUGGCACUAUUACUUCCCUUGAUCUAGACACUAUACUCCUUCUGAUGCAGCCCAAAAUCCCAUUGGUUUUUUUUAGCUGCUGCAUCACAUUGUUGGUUCAUGUUCAACUUGCCCAUGAAGACACCAAGAUCUUUUUCACAGGUUCUGCUGUUGAGCCAGGCAUCACAUAUCUUGUAUUUGUGCAUUUCUUUUUUCUGCCUAAGUAUAGUAUCCUACAUUUCUCCUUAUUGAUAUUCAUUUUGUUAAUUUUGGCCCAGUUC